GGGGAUCUAGCUCAGUGGUAGAGCGCUUGUCUAGUAAGCACAGGGCUCUGGGUUUGGUUCUCAGUCCCCC
This 70-nucleotide transfer RNA is filed under the name Rattus norvegicus (Norway rat). It matches the Rfam family "tRNA". From Rfam's summary of the family: Transfer RNA (tRNA) molecules are approximately 80 nucleotides in length. Their secondary structure includes four short double-helical elements and three loops (D, anti-codon, and T loops). The record is from Rfam by way of RNAcentral. Lineage: Eukaryota; Metazoa; Chordata; Mammalia; Rodentia; Muridae.